This 367-nucleotide long non-coding RNA is filed under the name Mytilus galloprovincialis (Mediterranean mussel). Lineage: Eukaryota; Metazoa; Mollusca; Bivalvia; Mytilida; Mytilidae. The record is from RNAcentral.
ACAUAAUGCAUCUAGGGGUGAAUUCUAUUCUUUAUUCAAACUCGAGUUUGGUUUGGAACCGUAUCUAUUGCGAUUAUUACCCAAGGACAGAUAUUACAUAUCUAAACUUCGAUGCUCGAAUUUGAAGUUACCUAUUGAGACGGGUAGAUGGGCGGGGAUCGCGAGGGAAAAUAGAAUAUGUACAUUAUGUAAUGAGGGAAUAGGGGAUGAGUUUCAUAUAUUGUUUACCUGUAAAAAUGCUGAUGUUUCUGCUCUUAGAUCAAAGUUUAUACCAAAUUACUAUGUAAUGAAUCCAAGCAAGAACAAAUUCACUGGCUUGUUGUCUAUUUGUAACGUACAAGUUCAAAGGAAUUUAUCAAUUUUUGUG